Molecule: ribosomal RNA, 755 nt
Filed under: uncultured Rhodanobacteraceae bacterium
Lineage: Bacteria; Pseudomonadati; Pseudomonadota; Gammaproteobacteria; Lysobacterales; Rhodanobacteraceae
Description: bacterial SSU rRNA
Rfam family: Bacterial small subunit ribosomal RNA
Source: RNAcentral
AGUCGAGCGGCAGCGCGGGGCAACCUGGCGGCGAGCGGCGGACGGGUGAGGAAUGCAUCGGAAUCUACCCUGUCGUGGGGGAUAACGUAGGGAAACUUACGCUAAUACCGCAUACGACCGAGAGGUGAAAGUGGAGGACCGCAAGGCCUCACGCGAUUGGAUGAGCCGAUGCCGGAUUAGCUAGUUGGUAGGGUAAAGGCCUACCAAGGCGACGAUCCGUAGCUGGUCUGAGAGGAUGAUCAGCCACACUGGGACUGAGACACGGCCCAAACUCCUACGGGAGGCAGCAGUGGGGAAUAUUGGACAAUGGGCGCAAGCCUGAUCCAGCCAUGCCGCGUGUGUGAAGAAGGCCUUCGGGUUGUAAAGCACUUUUGUUCGGGAAGAAAUCGUGCGGAUUAAUACUUCGUACGGAUGACGGUACCGAAAGAAUAAGCACCGGCUAACUUCGUGCCAGCAGCCGCGGUAAUACGAAGGGUGCAAGCGUUACUCGGAAUCACUGGGCGUAAAGCGUGCGUAGGCGGUUCGUUAAGUCUGCUGUGAAAGCCCUGGGCUCAACCUGGGAACUGCAGUGGAUACUGGCGGGCUAGAGUGUGAUAGAGGAUGGUGGAAUUCCCGGUGUAGCGGUGAAAUGCGUAGAGAUCGGGAGGAACACCAGUGGCGAAGGCGGCCAUCUGGAUCAACACUGACGCUGAGGCACGAAAGCGUGGGGAGCAAACAGGAUUAGAUACCCUGGUAGUCCACGCCCUAAACGAUGC